UAGCUCAGCUGGUAGAGAAUCUGCCUGCAAUGCAGGAGACCCCGGUUCGAUUCCUGG
RNAcentral lists this transfer RNA (57 nucleotides) under Bos taurus (domestic cattle). It matches the Rfam family "tRNA", at positions 8 to 63 of the family's 71-position model. From Rfam's summary of the family: Transfer RNA (tRNA) molecules are approximately 80 nucleotides in length. Their secondary structure includes four short double-helical elements and three loops (D, anti-codon, and T loops). The record is from Rfam by way of RNAcentral. RNAcentral also lists the same sequence under 2 other names. Lineage: Eukaryota; Metazoa; Chordata; Mammalia; Artiodactyla; Bovidae.